This 559-nucleotide ribosomal RNA is filed under the name uncultured fungus. RNAcentral describes it as "eukaryotic LSU rRNA". The stretch from base 197 to 350 matches the Rfam family "5.8S ribosomal RNA". Lineage: Eukaryota; Fungi. The record is from RNAcentral.
CUCCGUAGGUGAACCUGCGGAGGGAUCAUUACACAAAUAUGAAGGCGGGCUGGAACCUCUCGGGGUUACAGCCUUGCUGAAUUAUUCACCCUUGUCUUUUGCGUACUUCUUGUUUCCUUGGUGGGUUCGCCCACCACUAGGACAAACAUAAACCUUUUGUAAUUGCAAUCAGCGUCAGUAACAAAUUAAUAAUUACAACUUUCAACAACGGAUCUCUUGGCUCUGGCAUCGAUGAAGAACGCAGCGAAAUGCGAUAAGUAGUGUGAAUUGCAGAAUUCAGUGAAUCAUCGAAUCUUUGAACGCACAUUGCGCCCUUUGGUAUUCCAAAGGGCAUGCCUGUUCGAGCGUCAUUUGUACCCUCAAGCUUUGCUUGGUGUUGGGCGUCUUGUCUCUAGCUUUGCUGGAGACUCGCCUUAAAGUAAUUGGCAGCCGGCCUACUGGUUUCGGAGCGCAGCACAAGUCGCACUCUCUAUCAGCAAAGGUCUAGCAUCCAUUAAGCCUUUUUUUCAACUUUUGACCUCGGAUCAGGUAGGGAUACCCGCUGAACUUAAGCAUAUCA